Molecule: unclassified non-coding RNA, 447 nt
Filed under: Zea mays
Lineage: Eukaryota; Viridiplantae; Streptophyta; Magnoliopsida; Poales; Poaceae
Description: misc RNA Zm00001eb111840
Source: RNAcentral
GUCGGCGACGUCGCGGUAGCGCCUGAGCGCGAGGAGCGCCCGCGCCCGGAGCUCCAGCGCCGCCUCGGCCCGCGGCGACAUCUCCAGGGCGACGGUCACCAGGCCGAGCGCCGCCGCCGCCGCGUCGUCCGCAUCCUCGGUGUCCUGCGCCGCCGCAGCGAGAGCCGCCCGCGCCUCGCCGAGGUACCUGUCGACCACCUGUCGCACAUCGCAAUCAACGCGUGGCCUUCCAACACUGAAACGAAAAUUUGUGGCGGAAAAGAACAACCAAGCCGUCCACGCAAACAGAAGGCAUCACGGAAGAGGACGAGGGUCCGUCCUCGAAUCACGAACGUCUCGCCAUCACGGAAGUGGAUCGAUCAGCAAGGCUGGCACUCCUCUCGGGAUUACAGAAGGCGAAACCGGGCAGGCAUGGACGGACGAGACGAGAGUAGAGGUGAGUGGGGG